Molecule: transfer RNA, 72 nt
Filed under: Bos taurus (domestic cattle)
Lineage: Eukaryota; Metazoa; Chordata; Mammalia; Artiodactyla; Bovidae
Also listed under: 3 other names
Rfam family: tRNA
About the family: Transfer RNA (tRNA) molecules are approximately 80 nucleotides in length. Their secondary structure includes four short double-helical elements and three loops (D, anti-codon, and T loops).
Source: Rfam by way of RNAcentral
UCCCUGGUGGCUCAAUUGGUAAAGAAUCCACCUGCAAUGUGGGAGACCUGGGUUCGAUCCCUGGGUUGGGAA